This 74-nucleotide transfer RNA is filed under the name Clostridium sp. CAG:1024. It matches the Rfam family "tRNA". From Rfam's summary of the family: Transfer RNA (tRNA) molecules are approximately 80 nucleotides in length. Their secondary structure includes four short double-helical elements and three loops (D, anti-codon, and T loops). Lineage: Bacteria; Bacillati; Bacillota; Clostridia; Eubacteriales; Clostridiaceae. The record is from Rfam by way of RNAcentral.
GUUUCCGUAGCUCAGCAGGAUAGAGCGUCCGCCUCCUAAGCGGAAGGCCCCCGGUUCGAAUCCGGGCGGGAACG